UGGUGAUAAUGAUUGGUUUUACUAAAUCUGACUUACUUCAUGUUAUGUGUAUCAAGCAGCAGAGUGAGUGUCACCACAAUUAUUAUUUUCUAUUUCCUUCUAUUUUUAAAUUGGAGAUAAUCUACAGUUACAGUAGAUACAGUAGUCAUGAGCAAAAAUGUUUGUACUAGUACUGCUGACAAGACAAGACAAGACGAGACAAGACAAGACCUAAACCGAGACCACCUCUUUUGGUAUUACCAAAUUUUUGUCAGGACCAAACACGGUGUGUGUGAGAGCACUCUUAGUAUAUUUGUAGUUUAAUCAAGUUUUGAAAAAUUUCUAGAAUGGUCAAGUACUUAUACCUGCUUCUGUUUCCUUUUCAGAUGGGGCUUUGUUGCCUCCUGGAUUUGGGCUGAAUUCAGUCUUGGAUGUGUUCUUUGCUUUUGGAGGACUCUACUUGAGCUUCACUUACUAAUGAAAUGCAGCAGCUUCACUGUAAAAGACUAAAAUGGACGUCCUAAGAGUUGUUUCCACAUGGUGUCCAACUCCCCCACCCACCAGUGGUCUGUUCGAUUAUGCCUGUCUGAAGUUUGGCAGACACCUGUGUUUGGACAUGGCCUCAAAAAGGUGUCAAGAGUUGGGUGGAAAAGAAAAAAAAAAGAAAAGACCAGUGAGAUUCUAAUGUGUCGCUUGCAGGUUUUGCCACUGCGCGUGCUGGGUUUGUUAUUUUGUAUUACACGCAUGUACGAAUGAAAAUGACAGAAAGGGAG
This 752-nucleotide long non-coding RNA is filed under the name Astyanax mexicanus (Mexican tetra). RNAcentral describes it as "lncRNA (ENSAMXG00005020708.1)". Lineage: Eukaryota; Metazoa; Chordata; Actinopteri; Characiformes; Acestrorhamphidae. The record is from RNAcentral.